GUAACAUUACUUGGCUGCAAGGCUGUAUGCAACAUCCUGGAGAACCAUGACAAAAAACAGUUGAGUGGUAGGACGCUGCCUGCCAGACCAGAUGCCCAGGAUACGCAGCGAAAACUUUUGGGGGCAGAACUCGCUGGGGGUGGCAAUCAGCCCAGUAAUGAAUGAAGAGAGUGAAAAGGAGAGUGAAAAAUGUUCAGAUUUGCAAAUAUUUUAAUUUUUUUUUACAUUUGUAUAUAUUUUAUAUUGUUA
Long non-coding RNA from Alligator mississippiensis (American alligator), 249 nucleotides. RefSeq lists it as uncharacterized. NCBI's taxonomy places the organism in Eukaryota, Metazoa, Chordata, Crocodylia, Alligatoridae. The transcript is spliced from 3 exons. The record is from RefSeq and is a predicted model, not a curated record.